AGUUGCAAGAACUUUGAAGAGAGAGUUCAAGAGUACGUGAAACUGUUCAGAGGCAAACGGUUGGGCCCUCGAAGUCCAGUCGCCGGGGGAUUCAGUCGGGAAGGCUGGGGGUGCCCGAGGAUAGGCGGACGCCCGCAGCGGCGCGCCGUUGGCACCGUCCCACGUCGGCCCGACGCACUUCCUCCGGCGCAGCGGACGCCGCAGCCGGUUCGGUAGCAGACAAGUUCGGCCAUGAGGGAGAGAGCUGGUGGGUGGCUCGGGCGCGGCCUCCGCGCCGUCGUUCGAGACUCUGGCCGUCUCUCCCGGGCGCGACACCGGACCGAGGAAGAGGUCCGACUCCGGUCGGACCGGCCGUGCCUUCGCCUUAAUAGUGCGAGCGGAUCGCGAUGGGUCUGGAGCCCUCCAGUACGGGGCCGUUACACCGAGGCGGUGGCGGCAUCCUACCGGCUCUCCGCAGGACCCCGCGGACCGCGGCGGACAGGCAUCAGGGCUUGCGGCGAGUAGGUCGGUCACCCACCCGGCCCGUCUUGAAACACGGACCAAGGAGUAUAACAUGUGCGCGAGUCGUCGGGUCUUGAUCAGGCCCGUGGGCGCAAUGAAAGUGAAGGCGACGUCCCGUCGCCGAUGUUGGGAUCCGGUGGGAGCUCGCUCCCCCGGCGCACCAACGGCCCGUCCCGACCCGCUUCGUCGGGUGGGGCGGAGCCGGAGCGCACACGUUGUGACCCGAAAGAUGGUGAACUAUGCCCGGGCAGGACGAAGCCAGAGGAAACUCUGAUGGAGGUCCGCAGCGGUUCUGACGUGCAAAUCGAUCGUCGGACCUGGGUAUAGGGGCGAAAGACUAAUCGAACCAUCUAGUAGCUGGUCCU
RNAcentral lists this ribosomal RNA (866 nucleotides) under Quamtana embuleni. RNAcentral's name for it is "eukaryotic LSU rRNA". It matches the Rfam family "Eukaryotic large subunit ribosomal RNA", at positions 362 to 958 of the family's 3401-position model. The record is from RNAcentral. Lineage: Eukaryota; Metazoa; Arthropoda; Arachnida; Araneae; Pholcidae.